Molecule: long non-coding RNA, 236 nt
Filed under: Elaeis guineensis (African oil palm)
Lineage: Eukaryota; Viridiplantae; Streptophyta; Magnoliopsida; Arecales; Arecaceae
Description: long non-coding RNA (EGUI_LNC007378)
Source: RNAcentral
GGUCCAUCAAACUAUGCAUCAUCUUGAACAUAUGUUGGUGUUGGGUUUUGGUAGAUGAAGUGCAUGCAGAAAUUUCAAGAUAUUUUUGAAAACGACUGUGGAAGUGUAGAUUAAAACACAUUUUAAUAUAGCAUGCAAAGAUCAAAUCUAAUCACCUACGGAUCUAAUUUAUAUCAUGAAUAACAAGAUGAGAACAUGCAUUUGAUUUUAAAAGAGUAAAACUAAAAAUAAAUCGA